Molecule: unclassified non-coding RNA, 2756 nt
Filed under: Limulus polyphemus (Atlantic horseshoe crab)
Lineage: Eukaryota; Metazoa; Arthropoda; Merostomata; Xiphosura; Limulidae
Description: acetylcholine receptor subunit beta-like 1, transcript variant X1
Source: RNAcentral
AACCACAGAUUAUCAUUUUUUUUCCAACAGUGCUGAUGGAAACUACGAGGUCCGAUAUAAGUCUAAUGUUCUUAUCUAUCCAAAUGGACUGGUGAUGUGGGUACCUCCCGCCAUUUAUCAGAGCUCGUGCACCAUUGAUGUGACAUAUUUCCCUUUCGAUCAGCAGAAAUGCGUUAUGAAAUUUGGAUCUUGGACGUUCAAUGGCGACGAAGUAUCUUUAAAACUGGAUAGCGAUAACAGAUGGGUAGAUCUUUCUGCAUAUUGGAAGAGCGGUACAUGGGACAUUGUCGAGGUACCGGCAUUCCUGAAUACGUACAAUAAUAGCAGAGAGGGCAAACCUACUGAAACAGACAUCUCUUUCUACAUAACAAUUCGUCGAAAAACACUCUUCUACACAGUGAAUCUGAUUCUUCCCACUUUUUCCAUAUCUUUUCUCUGUAUUCUUGUAUUCUAUCUUCCGGCAGAAGCUGGAGAAAAAGUGACUCUUGGAAUAUCGAUUCUACUCUCUUUAGUAGUGUUCUUGUUGCUAGUGUCGAAAAUAUUACCUCCUACGUCUCUCGUUCUUCCUUUGAUUGCCAAGUACCUGCUCUUCACAUUUUUAAUGAAUACCGGUUCAAUCCUGGUAACAGUAAUAAUUAUCAACUGGAACUUCCGAGGACCACGGACUCAUCGAAUGCCCAACUGGAUUCGAGUGGCAUUUUUAAAAUACUUGCCUAUUAUUCUGUUUAUGAGGAGGCCAAAGAAAACUAGGUUGAGAUGGAUGAUGGAGAUGCCAGGUUACGGAACGCACCAUUUGUACCAUAGCUCACCGGAAGGUAAGCCGUAUAACACGAGAAACAAAUCAGAAUUUAUGGAGCUAGCUGACAUUCACCACCCUAACUGUACGGCGGCAAGAAAACCCUCUCCAGAACCGGAAGUUCAGCUGUUGGACACAGAGGCGCAAGACACCUUGUUCCUAUCGCCCAAAGCUUAUAGAGCAACUGAAGCUAUUGAAUUUAUUGCUGAACAUUUACGCAGUGAAGACGAGUACAUACAGAUCCGGGAAGACUGGAAAUUCGUUGCUAUGGUAAUAGACCGUCUUCAGUUGUACAUAUUCUUUGCCGUGACAACAGCCGGAACUAUAGGCAUACUCCUGGAUGCACCCCACAUUUUUCAGUACGUAGAUCAAGACAAGAUAAUUGAAAUGCACAAAGGAAAACCAACAUGAGAUGCAAAGUCUACGCGCAUUCAAGACCGCUAGCUAAAUAUGUAUGAGAGUCGAUUUUUUUCAACGCUGGGAGGUUAUGCGUUCAUGUCAGUCAUUAUUUUCCGUUGCACGAGGAAGUGUAGCUAACGCCAACAUCGCUGUGGGAUAUAUAUACUGCAAUAUGCAGAGCUUAAUAAAAAUCGGUUAUAACGGAUACAGUUUAUACCAGCAGCAGACAAUCCGUGAUCUUCGUUCCUAGUUCCGAAGGAAACCAUGUAAUUACCUGUAAUUCAUUUUUCCGUAGCUACACGUGAUGAGUGUCAAAACGUUAUGUAUCCAGCCAAAUCCCACGUGACCUAAAAUAUUUAUGAAGAGCGUAAAUAAGAUAUUGCAUAACUUCCACCAUUUUACGCACUAUGACAGUUUAUGCAAUGCAAUAUCACUCACUCAUUGAAACAAAUUCUACAAAUAUGGCAUCCUUAAACUAUUGAAAUUGGUGUGCGCACCAACGCUAAAAGAAUAUUUAAAACAUCGAAAUCAACCUUAUUAUUCGGUAAAAUUUAACUCCACUUCUUUGUUGGAAGUAGUCUGGCAUACCAUAGGAUAUCAAGACUUCGAAAACCAGAAACUCCCGCCCACACAUGUUCAGAAGAGGUCUUACAAUGAAAAAUCCACUACUCAACAUGUAUAGAAUCUUCGUUUAGAAUAGCUUCUUGAUGAUGUCUUUUUCUUCUGAUUUCUUAAAGCUCAAUGAGACAGUUCUAUCUCUUCAGAAAACUGCAAAUUUCAUUUGAAGCAGAAGCAACUGCACAAGUGGCUAAACAACUGUGAGAUUAUCACGAGCAAGCAGUAACCAGUUAACUAUGAAAACGUCUUUAGCCUGAGCGGGAACGUCCGGAGCUGGUCCAAGCGUAGUCUUCCGAGUGGAGAAGCAGUCAGUGAAGCGGAUACCGUCGGAUUGUGCCGGCAUUAAAACUAAAGCAACCUCCUGCAUCAAAGAAAAGAAAAGGAGAAAAAUUCUUUCUUGUCUUUGCAAAGCAGGAACCCAAAAUGCUAGCGUGAACUGGUACAUAUACAUACACUGUAAACAUAGACCGUAAUCAACAGUAGUGCAAUAUAAACUUUAAAAAUACAACAAGUAAAAAGCUGAGCUUAGAACCGGUUUAAAUAUUUGUAAUUUAAUUUUCUAUGCUACUGUAGUUACAACGUUGAUCGUUCGUUUUGUAUGCCUUCUUAGUUUACUUAAUUAAAAUUACAUAGCAUCUCUUCGAAAUUGUCGGAACGUUGAUUAAAAUGAGCUAAAAUAUUGAUUUAAACCCUGUUACUGUUCGAAAAUAGUGAAUUGGCCGUAUAAGAUCAGAUUCUGUUUUACGUAAUGCAAUGCCAAAAUUAUCAGUGCAUUUGAUGAUUUUGUAGGACGCCACUUAUGGAUAUACAAAGGUGCAAAGAUACUUUGGAAAUCAGUCCUGGAAAUAUUCUAAGAAGCGAGAACGGAAAAGCUGCUGAACAGAACACGUUAUGCUCAAUUAUUCGUUUCGAAGGAGCUUGUGGCGGCGGAGGUAGUUCGAAA